UCUUAAGGAUGGGUCAGCGGCUGAUUAGGCUGUUGGCGGGGUAACGGCCCACCAAACCUAAGAUCAGUAGGGGUCUUGAGAGAGAUUGCCCCGAGAGGGACACUGAGAUAAGGGUCCCAGCCCCACGGGGUGCAGCAGGCGCGAGAACUUUACAUUGCACGAAAGUGUGAUAAGGGAACCCUGAGUGCUUAUGUUCUGCAUAGGCUUUUCUUAAGAGUAAAUAUCUUGAGGAAUAAGUGGUGGGCAAGACUGGUGCCAGCCGCCGCGGUAACACCAGCGCCACGAGUGGCAACCGCUUUUAUUGGGCCUAAAGCGUCCGUAGCCGGUUAAUUAAGUCUCUUGUGAAAUCGUUAAGCUUAACUUAACGGCGUGCAAGAGGUACUGGUUAACUUGGAACCGGGAGGAGUCAGAGGAAUUCCAGGGGGAGCGGUAAAAUGUUUUAAUCCCUGGAGGACCACCGGUGGCGAAGGCGUCUGACUAGAACGGAUUCGACGGUGAGGGACGAAAGCUAGGGGAGCAAAACGGAUUAGAUACCCGAGUAGUCCUAGCUGUAAACGCUGUGAGCUAGGCGUUGCAUGUUCUACGAGAACAUGCAGUGUCGUAACGAAGAUGUUAAGCUCACCGCCUGGGAAGUACGGUCGCAAGACUGAAACUUAAAGGAAUUGGCGGGGGCGCACUACAAGGAGUGUGGCGUGCGGUUCAAUUUGAUUCCACGCGGGAAACCUUACCAGGGGCGACGGCAGAAUGAAGGUCAGAUUGAAGGUCUUACCUAACAAGCCGAGAGGUAGUGCAUGGCCGCCGUCAGCUCGUGCUGUGAGGUGUCCUUUUAAGUAAGGCAACGAGCGAGACCUGUACCCCCAAUUGCUAACAGGCUUUUUCAAGCGACUGAGCCCAUUGUGGGGACUGCCUUGGAAACAAGGAGGAAGGUGCAGGCAACGGUAGGUCAGUAUGCUCCGAAUCUCCUGGGCUACACGCGCGCAGCAAUGGUCGGGACACUGGGAUACAACUCCGAAAGGAGAAGUUAAUCCUCGAAACCCGAUCUUAGUCUAGAUCGAGCUUUGAAACUCAGGCUCGUGACAAUGGAAUUCCUAGUAAUCGGGCUUCACCACGGCCCGGUGAAUAUGUCCCUGUGCCUUGCACACACCGCCCGUCAAUCCAUCCGAGCAGGGUUUAGGUGAGGCUUAUUUAUUUGAGUAAGUCAAAUCUAGAUUCAGUGAGGCAGGAUAAGUCGUCACAAGGUA
Molecule: ribosomal RNA, 1241 nt
Filed under: metagenome
Description: bacterial SSU rRNA
Rfam family: Archaeal small subunit ribosomal RNA
Source: RNAcentral